Molecule: non-coding RNA, 252 nt
Organism: Pimephales promelas (fathead minnow)
Lineage: Eukaryota; Metazoa; Chordata; Actinopteri; Cypriniformes; Leuciscidae
Source: RefSeq, a predicted model, not a curated record
GACACCUGAAACCACAACAAAGUUUCCAAAGAUCGCUGAAUACUUGCAGAUAACAUGAUUGCAACGAUAUAUGACGCAUUAUUUGUGUUCUUCAAGCCAUGCAGAUAACUUCAUAAUAUAUUACAUUUAUAAUUUGAUAGCCUACAGUGUCAACAGAAGUGAAAACGGAUCAAAGAAAUUGAAGUGGUCAGCCUCAGCCCCUCUGUGGGUGUGUUUAUUCUAAAGUGGCCAGCAUUAUUCACUGAAGCUCAG